This 323-nucleotide ribosomal RNA is filed under the name uncultured eukaryote. RNAcentral's name for it is "partial 18S ribosomal RNA". It matches the Rfam family "Eukaryotic small subunit ribosomal RNA", at positions 1470 to 1796 of the family's 1831-position model. The record is from RNAcentral.
CCCCUAGAUGUUCUGGGCCGCACGCGCGCUACACUGAACAGUUCAACAAGUCUUAACCUUGGCCGAUAGGUCUGGGUAAUCUUUGAACGCUGUUCGUGAUUGGGAUAGACCUUUGCAAUUAUGGGUCUUCAACGAGGAAUUCCUAGUAAACGCAAGUCAUCAGCUUGCAUUGAUUACGUCCCUGCCCUUUGUACACACCGCCCGUCGCACCUACCGAUUGGAUGGUCCGGUGAGGCCUCGGGAUUGUGGCCGGUGCAUUCAUUUGUGUCGGUUGCGAGAACUUGUCCAAACCUUAUCAUCUAGAGGAAGGUGAAGUCGUAACA